GUAGGGAAUAUUGCACAAUGGGGGAAACCCUGAUGCAGCGACGCCGCGUGAGUGAUGAAGGCCUUCGGGUCGUAAAGCUCUGUCGUAUGGGACUAACAAAAUGAAGGUACCAUGCAAGAAAGGAUCGGCUAACUUCGUGCCAGCAGCCGCGGUAAGACGAGGGAUCCUAGCGUUGUUCGGAAUUAUUGGGCGUAAAGCGGGUGUAGGCGGGCCUGUCAGUCAGGUGUGAAAUCCCAGGGCUUAACACUGGAAGUGCACUUGAUACUGCAGGUCUUGAGUGUGGUAAAGGCUAUUAGAAUUCUUGGUGUAGUGGUGAAAUACGUAGAUAUCAAGAGGAAUACCGGAGGCGAAGGCGGAUAGCUGGGCCAACACUGACGCUGAGACCCGAAAGCGUGGGGAUCAAACAGGAUUAGAUACCCGGGUAGUCC
This 428-nucleotide ribosomal RNA is filed under the name uncultured bacterium. RNAcentral's name for it is "partial 16S ribosomal RNA". It matches the Rfam family "Bacterial small subunit ribosomal RNA", at positions 354 to 796 of the family's 1533-position model. The record is from RNAcentral.